Molecule: long non-coding RNA, 801 nt
Filed under: Rattus norvegicus (Norway rat)
Lineage: Eukaryota; Metazoa; Chordata; Mammalia; Rodentia; Muridae
Description: long non-coding RNA NONRATT005562
Source: RNAcentral
CGGAGGAGGUAGUGGCUGCUCCGGGAACACCAGGGGAAAUGAUGCCUCGAAGACCCAUGUAGGUUUCUUUAAAACCUCGCUAAUGUCCAGACUCAAGUACUAGAUCUAUGGAGCCCGCCAGAAACUGUCCACUGUUCGGAGGCGCCUUUUCCGCCAUCCUCCCCCGAGGGGCCAUUGAUGUGAGUGACCUCCGACCGGUGCCAGACAACCAAGAAGUUUUCUGCCAUCCUGUGACCGACCAGAGUCUGAUCAUAGAACUUCUGGAGCUGCAGGCCCACGUGCAGGGCGAAGCGGCUGCGCGGUGAGAAAGCUAGCCAACGGGAGGCCCGGAACCGAGGAAGUGGGCGGGGCCUGUGGCUGGACGGUUAUCCAGGACGAAAACUCCAAGGGCAAUAGCAGCAGGCCAGGCUCGAGGGUGGGACUGGGUUAUUCAGAGAUGCCCCUCCCUACCCAUGUUCCUCCCACGCCAGGUACCAUUUUGAGGACGUUGGCGGGGUGCAGGGGGCUAGGAGUGUGCACGUGCUAUCUGUGCAGCCUCUCUGUUUGGAGAACUUAUCCCUGAGAGGCUGCUGUCAAGAUGCCUGGUUCCUUUCUGGCAAGCAGCAGGUAGCUAAAGAAAACCAACAGGUGAGGGCCACGGUGAAUGGGAUGCCCUCGAGCUGGGAAGGGAUAACUCCAGGUAUCCUGGUAAGCAUGCCGAUUCUGAUCCCUUUAGGUAGCAAAGGAUGUCACACUGCAUCAGGCCUUGCUUCGGUUGCCCCAGUAUCAGACUGAUCUUUUGCUCACCUUCAAUCAGCCCCC